Magnolia sinica is the source of this 873-nucleotide long non-coding RNA. RefSeq lists it as uncharacterized. The record is from RefSeq and is a predicted model, not a curated record. The transcript has 2 exons. Lineage: Eukaryota; Viridiplantae; Streptophyta; Magnoliopsida; Magnoliales; Magnoliaceae.
AUGUAGGUUACUUUUUGAAAUCAUGGGUAUCUUAUAUUGUAUGUUGUGUACUUUGGUAUUGAUGUGUGGGAUGGUAUCUUUUUUAUUGUUAUACCUUUGGAUGGAUUGAGCUAUGUAAAUAUGGGCAGGAUUUAAAUUUUAAUGGUGGCUAGUCAAAGAGGGGUUGUUUUUUCUUUAAUUCUAAAAAGAGGUAUUAUGCAAUGCUCCGGUCAUAUGUUUGAUUAGGCUUUAAGUUUGUACAUGCGAGCCCACAGUACUGUGAUUCAAUCCAAUGAUAUGAUGGCCUUCACUGUUAACAGGUCAUGAACCAGAAAUCUCCCAGAUUGGAGAAGCCCUAAACCUUCAAUAGGUAGCUAAGAAGUAGAUGUUUUACAAAGAAAACAUAGCAACAGCUCACAUUUAUUUUUAUUUUUGAGGGGCUAAAUGUUCUGUGGCUGGUGGAUUUUUGGUGCAUGGGCCAUCCACAGUGUGGCCCAUCAUACCACUGGCUUGGAUCACUGAACUGUGGGCCCCACCCAGCUCUACAAACCAAAAGCACGAAGUACAAGCUAUUGGCCCGAGCAUUGUUUAAUAUCUCUUCUAACAACUCAUAUCAGCUAAAAAUUUCUUCUCACUUGCAUUCACAGUUUACUAUCAGAGAUCAUACCUCAACACCCCAGUUACUUAACAUACUCUACGAAGGAAAAGCUUCGUCAUCAGAAGACAUUGAAGGAGUUCACCAAAGAAAUGGAAACUUUGAAGCCUCGACUUGGAAGGAAAAUCAAUGAGAUUGACGGACAUCACGUUGAGAGGCCUAACAAUAGUGUGAAUGGUUCUCAUAUCACCUCACAGAAUCCAGAAUAUCAUUCCCUUCCAGGCUGCAAUGAGAGGAAG